AUUGAACGCUGGCGGCAGGCCUAACACAUGCAAGUCGAGCGAGCGGCGGACGGGUGAGUAAUGUAUGGGGAUCUGCCUGAUGGAGGGGGAUAACUACUGGAAACGGUAGCUAAUACCGCAUACCAUCAGAUGCACCCAUAUGGGAUUAGCUUGUAGGUGAGGUAACGGCUCACCUAGGCGACGAUCCCUAGCUGGUAUGAUAGGAUGAUCAGCCACACUGAGACUACGACACGGCCCAGACUCCUACGGGAGGCAGCAGUGGGGAAUAUUGCACAAUAGGGGCAAGCCUGCUGCAGCCAUGCCGCGUGGAUGAAGAAGGCCUUCGGGUUGUAGAGUACUUACAGUCGGGAGGCGUUACCGACAGAAGAAGCACCGGCUAACUCCAUGCCAGCAGCCGCAAUAAUUC
RNAcentral lists this ribosomal RNA (406 nucleotides) under uncultured bacterium. Its description in RNAcentral is "partial 16S ribosomal RNA". It matches the Rfam family "Bacterial small subunit ribosomal RNA", at positions 30 to 526 of the family's 1533-position model. The record is from RNAcentral.